This 692-nucleotide long non-coding RNA is filed under the name Solanum tuberosum (potato). RNAcentral describes it as "long non-coding RNA (STUB_LNC010738)". The record is from RNAcentral. Lineage: Eukaryota; Viridiplantae; Streptophyta; Magnoliopsida; Solanales; Solanaceae.
UAGUUUCCGAACGUCAUGGUCGUUUCUUGACGUUUAGACUCUUAACUCUUCCAAACUAAGUUAAUUACAUUAGUUUAGGUCUAGAAACAUCAUUUUAACUAUUUUUAAGUCAUUAAUCAUAAAGCAAGGCUCUAGCUUAGGUCAUUGGAUUUCCGGGGUGUUUCAUGUUAUCAUUUAUAAAAAGGGCAUUUAUCAUGACAUCUUCUAAUUAUCAUAUUAACAUGUUUUUGACUUUUGUUUAUUAGAAAUGUUGUAGUUAAAUGUUAUUACUAAUUGAGUUGGUGAUUUACUCCCCACUUUUUUUUGUUGCACAGAUCACAGGUGACGUCGACAAGACUUUAGCUAUAGUGUACGAGUUGACAAAUCUAUAGUUCACGGGGAUUGCUUUGUGUGGACAAGAAGUUAUUUAUUUACUACCGCCCUUUUCUUUUGAACUCUUAGAGUCGCUUUGUUAAUCAUUUCACUAGUGUCAUGCGUAAUUUUUCAUUAUUGGAAACUUGAAAUAGUAUUAGACUUCUUUUCGUAUUUGGAGGUGGAUUUAGUAUUAUUAUAUUGUUGAUGCAUGUUAUGGCUUGCUUUUUUUAGCGAUAUUGGUUGGAUAUGUUAUUGAUUUUUGAGACAGGAAUUUUUUUUUCUAUAGGCCCAAAAACAGGGGAAAUUCUGUCCAAUUUUUUGUAAAUUUUCAUCAAGGC